This is a long non-coding RNA of Nymphaea colorata (pocket water lily), 902 nucleotides long. RefSeq lists it as uncharacterized. The transcript has 4 exons. NCBI's taxonomy places the organism in Eukaryota, Viridiplantae, Streptophyta, Magnoliopsida, Nymphaeales, Nymphaeaceae. The record is from RefSeq and is a predicted model, not a curated record.
CCCAGGGAAGGGGGAGAUCGAUCGAAACGAUGGCAAACGCAUAUGCGUGGAGGGCUCCCCACCUUGUUCAACACCCUGCCCGCCCGUGCAGUAACCUCUUCCUCUUUCAACAUCCGCCAACUCAUCCUCCUGUCCGCUGCAAUGCCUGUGAUUUUCCCAUCACUAGCGGCUUCCGCUACAACUGCGGCUCUUACAACCUCCACCCGUACUGCGCGGGCAUUGGCCCCUAUCUCUACAUUCAACACCCUCACCUCCCUGGCCCCCUCACCUCUUCACCCUCAUCUUCUCCCCUCCCUAUCCGAAUGGGCAAUUCACCUGCGACAUCUGCAAUUAUCCGGGUGGCUCUCACUGGCUCUACCGCUGCACCGUCUGCAAUGGCUUCGACGCUCAUUUAGGUUGUGCGAUCAAGGCGGCGCAGUUCCAGUUUCACCCAGCUCCAUAUUGCCCGCCACUGGCUCCUGUCUAUCCACCUUAUAAUGGUGGUGGUGGUGGUACCGCAUACGCCUCAACUCCCUCAUCCGAUCGCUGGAUAAAAAUCGGCAACUGUAAUUGGGUUGUGGGGCGGCUAGGAGGUCUGGGUACUACAGCUAGCCUGAUUAACAUUGGCUCAACUCUCAUUGAAACACUGAAUCAGCUGUCGGGCGGCGGAAGUAUCUUGAGUUUCUGAAUAGCAGAUGGAAUAUACAGCGAUCCUCAUCGACUAAGUUCUGCGGCUUCACUCGAGUCCGUAGCCAUAUGUGCGUGGCCUUUUCAUGAUGUGUAACCUCUUUAAGACUUUCUCGUUGGUUUGGUUUACUUGGCCUGUUGAAUUUUAUUAGAACUUUCAAGUUUGCUUGAAUCCUUGCUUCUAAAUAAAUCCUAUUAAAAUAUUUCAAAUAAAACAAAUUUAAAAUUCAUAUGUA